This is a long non-coding RNA of Macadamia integrifolia, 2057 nucleotides long. RefSeq lists it as uncharacterized. NCBI's taxonomy places the organism in Eukaryota, Viridiplantae, Streptophyta, Magnoliopsida, Proteales, Proteaceae. The record is from RefSeq and is a predicted model, not a curated record. The transcript has 3 exons.
UUUUAAUAGGAGACUAUGGCUCCUCUUUCUACUCUGUCGACUUAGAUGCUUGUGAAAAGUAAGCAGCGGUAGAACUCGAUCUUCUGCCGUUGAAGCCGCUGGAGUCUUCUCGCGAUGGAGCCAAAGUUGGGGUUUCUUGCAACGGCCUGCUCUGUGUCUAUAACUCUGUGAAGGACGUAUUCCUCUGGAAUCCUUCAACCAGAAGACAUCGGAAGCUACCCGUUUCACCUAUUGAGUCUCCACGCAUAUACGGCAACUCCAAUAUUUUUGGAUUGGGUUACGAUCCACCUCCGACGAUUACAAACUGGUAAGGAUUGCGUAGUUUUCUGUGUAUCCUCGUGACCAUGUACCUUCGGAGGUGAAGGUCUACUCACUUAGCAGCAACUCAUGGAGAAAGAUCCGUUACAUGACCGAGCCCUUCAAAAUCAACCCCUUUUACGGAUUUGGGGUUUUUGCAAAUUCUGCUCUUCAUUGGGUUGGAUUUCGAGAGACGCAACCUGGUCACUAUUCCAGCAGUUUUUUUGUUUCCAUUGACCUUCAAGAUGAGUAUCGAGAGCUGCCACUGCCUGACUCUUUGUUCACCUUGUUGACUUAUGUUGGUGUUCGUGGAGGACAAGACUUUGUGCUCUGUAACUUUGGUGGUCGUAUGGAGGUUUGGGUGAUGAAGGAUUAUGGCAUGAGGGACUCUUGGGUGAAAGAAUUCUCUAUCGAACAAUAGGUGAUAAGGGACUUUUGUGUGAACUACUUAAUCAUUCCUACAGUGGUAUUUUGAUGACAUCACACUGGGUCGAACUCGUAAUGUAAUCAAUCAAGUUUCAAGCUGCUUGCAUUCGAACUGAAGGAAAAGUAGGGUGAAGUCAUGAACUUACCCUUGCAUGUCUAUUGCAAAAUGCUAGUUUCUUACAAAAAGUUUGUCUUUCCUUUUUUAGCGCUAAUGAGAUUAGUUGAUGUAAAAGGGGUAUGUAAUUUACUUGUCAAUUGUAAUUACUUAAUAUCAGUCCUUCAGAAUCAAAGUUAAAUUACUUGGAUAAGAGUGAGGUAGUGACCUGCAUAUAUUACUUUCAAUUUAAUUAGUCUGUUGGAAGGGCUUUUGGAAAUGAUGCUUAUUUCCCUUGUUAGAAGAUACAUUAUAAGAACUGCUUGUUGAAAAUAGUGAUAUAUGUAUAUCAUUAUAUACUGAAUUGGUGAUUUGUGGUGGGGAGUAGACAGGAAGGCUUACUGCUUUUAGGCUGAUUGAAUUUAUUUUUCCUGUAACUGGAAUGGACUGCAAAAGAAGAGAAUUUGUGAUUCCAAAGAUGAAGCAGUUUGGAGUAGGCUUAUUUUAAGUUUUGGGUGCUGUCAUAUACUCUUUUGUAAUGGAAAUUUAUUGUCACUGUUCUUGUAAAUGCUUUUUUCAAUAGAAUUUGUUGUUAAACUACAUAACAUUAAAUUUCCUAUGUGCCUCAUGCUGUUGGUUACGUUCUCCUCUGCUUAGGGUAUUGGUAUGUCUGAGUUAACGUCUUAUUAUUAACAGAGAUGAGGUGCAAAUACCGAAAGUGAAUCUUCUUGUCAUAUUAGCCAACUGAUGAUGUUUUCACUUUAAUUCUCUUACACACAUUUGAUGUCUGACUGCUGGUUCUUGUUCAUUCCUGGGCUAUUGUUGGACAUGUGGAGCUCAUUGGAUACGUUGGAUGAGUUUAAGUUCUUUUGAGGGGGAGAAAGUUGAACAGGAAAACUUAAAAUAGGGUUGACGUUGUGAUUGGGAGGUUAGCAAUUAACUAGUUGAGAAUGGGGAAACAAAUGACAAGGCAAUCAAGGCGUUGGCUUACAUAGUAUAUCUCUUGGUAUCCCUUCUUUUGGAGUUCAUAAUCUGUUGACUGUACUAGGAAAUUUCUGAUAAUGGUUCUCUUAUGUUUAUGGUUUGGAACAUAUUACAGCUUCCUGACUUCAGCCUUUUUGUUAAAGACCUUAAAAAUAUCAGUACCACAGUGGUGGGGGCCCUAUCUUUUAUAGCUAUCUGUACUCUCUCCUUUAGAUUUUUUUUUUUUAAUUAUUAUUAUUUUUUAAUAUUGUCACUA